This 497-nucleotide ribosomal RNA is filed under the name uncultured bacterium. Its description in RNAcentral is "partial 16S ribosomal RNA". It matches the Rfam family "Bacterial small subunit ribosomal RNA", at positions 28 to 507 of the family's 1533-position model. The record is from RNAcentral.
GACGAACGCUGGCGGCGUGCCUAAUACAUGCAAGUUGAGCGCUGAAGGUUGGUACUUGUACCAACUGGAUGAGCAGCGAACGGGUGAGUAACGCGUGGGGAAUCUGCCUUUGAGCGGGGGACAACAUUUGGAAACGAAUGCUAAUACCGCAUAAAAACUUUAAACACAAGUUUUAAGUUUGAAAGAUGCAAUUGCAUCACCCAAAGAUGAUCCCGCGUUGUAUUAGCUAGUUGGUGAGGUAAAGGCCCACCAAGGCGAUGAUACAUAGCCGACCUGAGAGGGUGGUCGGCCACCUUGGGACUGGGACACGGCCCAAACUCCUACGGGAGGCAGCCGUAGGGAAUCUUCGGCAAUGGACGAAAGUCUGACCGAGCAACGCCGCGUGAGUGAAGAAGGGUUUCGGAUCGUAAAACUCUGUUGGUAGAGAAGAACGUUGGUGAGAGUGGAAAGCUCAUCAAGUGACGGUAACUACCCAGAAAGGGACGGCUAACUACGUG